RNAcentral lists this ribosomal RNA (253 nucleotides) under uncultured bacterium. Its description in RNAcentral is "partial 16S ribosomal RNA". It matches the Rfam family "Bacterial small subunit ribosomal RNA", at positions 524 to 776 of the family's 1533-position model. The record is from RNAcentral.
UACAGAGGGUGCAAGCGUUGUUCGGAAUUACUGGGCGUAAAGCGCGUGUAGGCGGUCUGGUAAGUUGGGUGUGAGAUCCCUCGGCUCAACCGAGGAACUGCAUCCAAAACUACUAGACUUGAGUAUCGGAGGGGGUGGCGGAAUUCCCGGUGUAGAGGUGAAAUUCGUAGAUAUCGGGAGGAACACCUGUGGCGAAGGCGGCCACCUGGAAGAUUACUGACGCUGAGACGCGAAAGCGUGGGGGGCAAACAGG